RNAcentral lists this ribosomal RNA (253 nucleotides) under uncultured bacterium. RNAcentral's name for it is "partial 16S ribosomal RNA". It matches the Rfam family "Bacterial small subunit ribosomal RNA", at positions 524 to 776 of the family's 1533-position model. The record is from RNAcentral.
UACAGAGGGUGCGAGCGUUAAUCGGAAUUACUGGGCGUAAAGCGCACGUAGUCGGCUUUGCAAGUCGGGUGUGAAAUCCCCGGGCUCAACCUGGGAACUGCAUCCGAGACUGCAUUGCUAGAGUAUGGGAGAGGGAAGCGGAAUUUCUGGUGUAGCAGUGAAAUGCGUAGAUAUCGGAAGGAACAUCAGUGGCGAAGGCGACUUCCUGGACCAAUACUGACGCUCAGGUGCGAAAGCGUGGGGAGCAAACAGG